GAUGAACGCUGGCGGCGUGCCUAAUACAUGCAAGUCGAGCGAACAGACGAGGAUCUUGCUCCUCUGACGUUAGCGGCGGACGGGUGAGUAACACGUGGAUAACCUACCUAUAAGACUGGGAUAACUUCGGGAAACCGGAGCUAAUACCGUAUAAUAUAUUUAACCGCAUGGUUCAAUAGUGAAAGACGGUUUUGCUGUCACUUAUAGAUGGCUCCUCGCCGCAUUAGCUAGUUGGUAAGGUAACGGCUUACCAAGGCAACGAUGCGUAGCCGACCUGAGAGGGUGAUCGGCCACACGGGAAGUGAGACACGGACAAGAGUACUACGGGAGGCAGCAGUAGGGAAUGUUCCGCAAUGGGCGAAAGCAUGACGGAGCAAAGCCGAGUGAGUGAUGAAGGUCUUCGGAUCGUAAAACUCUGUUAUUAGGGAAGAACAAAUGUGUAAGUAACUAUGCACGUAUUGACGGUACCUAAUCAGAAAGCAACGGCUAACUACGUG
RNAcentral lists this ribosomal RNA (497 nucleotides) under uncultured bacterium. Its description in RNAcentral is "partial 16S ribosomal RNA". It matches the Rfam family "Bacterial small subunit ribosomal RNA", at positions 28 to 507 of the family's 1533-position model. The record is from RNAcentral.